This is a long non-coding RNA of Etheostoma spectabile (orangethroat darter), 239 nucleotides long. RefSeq lists it as uncharacterized. Lineage: Eukaryota; Metazoa; Chordata; Actinopteri; Perciformes; Percidae. The transcript is spliced from 2 exons. The record is from RefSeq and is a predicted model, not a curated record.
GUCUUGAUGUAGAAAGCAGCUGUUCAUGUGUUCAACUGGCUCCCUCUGCUGACUGAAAAUUAGAAAUACUAACUGAGCUUUUGUAUGCAUUUACUGUGGAAUCUGUAACUGAAAUGCAUGUCUUAAAAAGGAACUUGGGAAUGUGCUGACCUGCAGAGCUGCCGUGGACUCCUCACUGGGCAGAGAGUCGAUGAGUACAUCCACGUCUUUGGCUGUUCUGGCAAUCAGAGCUGCAAACA